GACGAACGCUGGCGGCGUGCUUAACACAUGCAAGUCGAACGGAAAGGCCCUGCUUUUGUGGGGUGCUCGAGUGGCGAACGGGUGAGUAACACGUGAGUAACCUGCCCUUGACUUUGGGAUAACUUCAGGAAACUGGGGCUAAUACCGGAUAGGAGCUCCUGCUGCAUGGUGGGGGUUGGAAAGCUUCGGCGGAUGGGGAUGGACUCGCGGCUUACCAGCUUGUUGGUGGGGUAGUGGCUUACCAAGGCAUUGACGGGUAGCCGGCCUGAGAGGGUGACCGGCCACAUUGGGACUGAGAUACGGCCCAGACGCCUACGGGAGGCAGCAGUGGAGAAUAUUGCACAAUGGGCGGAAGCCUGAUGCAGCAACGCCGCGUGCGGGAUGACGGCCUUCGGGGUGUAAACCGCUUUCGCCUGUGACGAAGCGUGAGUGACGGUAAUGGGUAAAGAAGCACCGGCUAACUACGUG
RNAcentral lists this ribosomal RNA (468 nucleotides) under uncultured bacterium. RNAcentral's name for it is "partial 16S ribosomal RNA". It matches the Rfam family "Bacterial small subunit ribosomal RNA", at positions 28 to 507 of the family's 1533-position model. The record is from RNAcentral.